Canis lupus familiaris (dog) is the source of this 929-nucleotide long non-coding RNA. RefSeq lists it as uncharacterized. The record is from RefSeq and is a predicted model, not a curated record. The transcript has 3 exons. Lineage: Eukaryota; Metazoa; Chordata; Mammalia; Carnivora; Canidae.
AAUGACGAACAAGCCAGGCCCCUCCCUGCACAGCUGCCAGUCGUCUCAGGAAGACACACACGCAAACACCACUGCACCCACACCUGCUCUGAUCGACGUAUUCACGCCAUACCUUGGGGAGCUCAGCUCAGAUUGUGGUUGGAGCACAGAUCAGUACUUCAUUCCUUUUUAUGGCUGAAUAACAUUCGGCUGUGCGGAUAUACUACAUUUUAUUUCUCCAUUCAUCAAGCCAUGGACAUCUGGGUUGCUUCCACCUUCUGGCUAUUAUGAACAGUGCUGCUACGAACCAAACUUCUCCCUUAAACCCAGCUCCCAACAUGCCUAUGACUGGGUAAUCUUGUCUCACCCUGGGCCCCUGAAGCUGCGUUCAUAAAAUAAGGCGGUCAGAACCUUCGCGGCCUGAACAACAUCACUAUCGCUCGUUCACGGGUGUGUGUGUGAAGGUGGCGUGUACCCCGCAGCUGUCCCACCAUUGCUGGAAGCUGGAGACUGGAUCUGGACCAGCCUGCCUCAUCUUCCCGGAACUCAUGGCUAGCAGGGGAGACACAGGGCAGCAGGAUGACGGUGGCAGGUGUCGCCGCUCUGGCUGGCAUUUAGGAAUCUGUGUCGGCGAGGCUGGGGGUACACCAACGUGGAGGCUCCCCCAAACUGCCUGAUGCCACAGAAGACCACAUGCUCUGAUGCCAUUCCUACGAAGCUCAGGAACGGACAAAACAUCCAGAAUGACAGGACCAGGAACAACAGUCACCUCUAGGGGCAGGUUAAUGACUGGACGGGAGAAAGAGGGAACGCCCGGGGGUGGUGGAGAUGCACCCCAUCUCAAUCCUGGCAACGGGUCUGUAACUUGAUUCCAUCGUUAAAACUCACUGAAUGCAACAUUUAAGGUCUGUACCUCUCCCUGUUCAUAGACUAGACCUUAAAAACGUGUG